RNAcentral lists this signal recognition particle RNA (99 nucleotides) under Marinilabiliales bacterium. RNAcentral describes it as "signal recognition particle sRNA small type". It matches the Rfam family "Bacteroidales small SRP". Rfam says of the family: The non-coding component of the signal recognition particle in Bacteroides Lineage: Bacteria; Pseudomonadati; Bacteroidota; Bacteroidia; Marinilabiliales. The record is from RNAcentral.
GGGUAAGUCCUGUGCAACCAGCUCCCGUGAACUCCCCCAGGUCUGGAAGGAAGCAAGGGUAAUCGGUCGUAGCGGUGUGAUGCAGGUAACUUACCCUUU